UGCGUAACACGUGAACAACUGCCCUCGUGUGGGGGAUAGCCGGGCUAACGCCCGGGUAAUACCGGAUACGUUCUCGUGGGGGAGUCCCUGCGGGAGGAAAGCUCCGGCGCACGGGGAGGGGUUCGCGGCCUAUCAGCUAGUUGGCGGGGUAAUGGACCACCAAGGCGACGACGGGUAGCUGGUCUGAGAGGAUGGCCAGCCACAUUGGGACUGAGAGACGGCCCAGACUCCUACGGGAGGCAGCAGUGGGGAAUCUUGCGCAAUGGCCGAACGGCUGACGCAGCGACGCCGCGUGUGGGAUGACGC
RNAcentral lists this ribosomal RNA (306 nucleotides) under uncultured Gemmatimonadota bacterium. RNAcentral's name for it is "bacterial SSU rRNA". It matches the Rfam family "Bacterial small subunit ribosomal RNA", at positions 107 to 414 of the family's 1533-position model. Lineage: Bacteria; Pseudomonadati; Gemmatimonadota. The record is from RNAcentral.